This 495-nucleotide ribosomal RNA is filed under the name uncultured bacterium. RNAcentral describes it as "partial 16S ribosomal RNA". It matches the Rfam family "Bacterial small subunit ribosomal RNA", at positions 28 to 507 of the family's 1533-position model. The record is from RNAcentral.
GACGAACGCUGGCGGCGUGCCUAAUACAUGCAAGUAGAACGCUGAAGGAGGAGCUUGCUUCUCUGGAUGAGUUGCGAACGGGUGAGUAACGCGUAGGUAACCUGCCUGGUAGCGGGGGAUAACUAUUGGAAACGAUAGCUAAUACCGCAUAAUAUUGACUAUUGCAUGAUAGUCAGUUGAAAGGUGCAACUGCACCACUACCAGAUGGACCUGCGUUGUAUUAGCUAGUUGGUGGGGUAACGGCUCACCAAGGCGACGAUACAUAGCCGACCUGAGAGGGUGAUCGGCCACACUGGGACUGAGACACGGCCCAGACUCCUACGGGAGGCAGCAGUAGGGAAUCUUCGGCAAUGGACGGAAGUCUGACCGAGCAACGCCGCGUGAGUGAAGAAGGUUUUCGGAUCGUAAAGCUCUGUUGUAAGAGAAGAACGAGUGUGAGAGUGGAAAGCUCACACUGCGACGGUAUCUUACCAGAAAGGGACGGCUAACUACGUG